Molecule: ribosomal RNA, 507 nt
Filed under: uncultured Propionibacterium sp.
Lineage: Bacteria; Bacillati; Actinomycetota; Actinomycetes; Propionibacteriales; Propionibacteriaceae
Description: bacterial SSU rRNA
Rfam family: Bacterial small subunit ribosomal RNA
Source: RNAcentral
AGAGUUUGAUCCUGGCUCAGGACGAACGCUGGCGGCGUGCUUAGCACAUGCAAGUCGAACGGAAAGGCCCUGCUUUUGUGGGGUGCUCGAGUGGCGAACGGGUGAGUAACACGUGAGUAACCUGCCCUUGACUUUGGGAUAACUUCAGGAAACUGGGGCUAAUACCGGAUAGGAGCUCCUGCUGCAUGGUGGGGGUUGGAAAGUUUCGGCGGUUGGGGAUGGACUCGCGGCUUAUCAGCUUGUUGGUGGGGUAGUGGCUUACCAAGGCUUUGACGGGUAGCCGGCCUGAGAGGGUGACCGGCCACAUUGGGACUGAGAUACGGCCCAGACUCCUACGGGAGGCAGCAGUGGGGAAUAUUGCACAAUGGGCGGAAGCCUGAUGCAGCAACGCCGCGUGCGGGAUGACGGCCUUCGGGUUGUAAACCGCUUUCGCCUGUGACGAAGCGUGAGUGACGGUAAUGGGUAAAGAAGCACCGGCUAACUACGUGCCAGCAGCCGCGGUAAUAC